RNAcentral lists this long non-coding RNA (371 nucleotides) under Pan troglodytes (chimpanzee). RNAcentral describes it as "long non-coding RNA NONPTRT000069". The record is from RNAcentral. Lineage: Eukaryota; Metazoa; Chordata; Mammalia; Primates; Hominidae.
CCCAAACUCCCGCUCAGAAGCAACACCUGUCGCAGAGCAGGAAGGAGCCGCCGCCACCAGCCCUCGGUCGUUAAAGGUGAAGAUGGAGGCCAAAGCCCUCGGGAGCAAGACUGGAAUUUUAAAUGAGCGCCUCCAGUCUCCGCGGCGAAAGCCGCCCCCAUCAUUAACCCUGGCUCCAAUUCCCAAGGCGAGGCUGAAAGUCAAGAUAUCGUUCAAGAAAGAACAGUUCUAACUGCUUAAUCUGGCAACAAAUUAGAGCCGAGAUGCUCAUCAGUCAUAAUCCUCUCCCCAUCCUGUUCUUCCCGAUGACUGCAACUAGGUGAUAUUAUUUAAUGUCCAAAGGCAAAAUGAAACAAAAACUGGAAUGCUAG